RNAcentral lists this ribosomal RNA (424 nucleotides) under uncultured bacterium. Its description in RNAcentral is "bacterial SSU rRNA". It matches the Rfam family "Bacterial small subunit ribosomal RNA", at positions 354 to 796 of the family's 1533-position model. The record is from RNAcentral.
GUGGGGAAUCUUAGACAAUGGGGGAAACCCUGAUCUAGCCAUGCCGCGUGAGCGAUGAAGGCCUUAGGGUUGUAAAGCUCUUUCAGCUGGGAAGAUAAUGACUGUACCAGCAGAAGAAGCCCCGGCUAACUCCGUGCCAGCAGCCGCGGUAAUACGGAGGGGGCUAGCGUUGUUCGGAAUUACUGGGCGUAAAGCGCACGUAGGCGGACCGGAAAGUCAGAGGUGAAAUCCCAGGGCUCAACCUUGGAACUGCCUUUGAAACUCCUGGUCUUGAGGUCGAGAGAGGUGAGUGGAAUUCCGAGUGUAGAGGUGAAAUUCGUAGAUAUUCGGAGGAACACCAGUGGCGAAGGCGGCUCACUGGCUCGAUACUGACGCUGAGGUGCGAAAGCGUGGGGAGCAAACAGGAUUAGAUACCCGGUAGUCC